RNAcentral lists this transfer RNA (66 nucleotides) under Ascidiella aspersa. Its description in RNAcentral is "transfer RNA-Gly(AGR)". The record is from RNAcentral. Lineage: Eukaryota; Metazoa; Chordata; Ascidiacea; Phlebobranchia; Ascidiidae.
GCAUUUUUAGUUAAAAAGAAAAUAUACCCCUUCUAAGGGUGGGAUCCUGAUACUCAGGGGAAUGCA